Molecule: long non-coding RNA, 1071 nt
Filed under: Mus spicilegus (steppe mouse)
Lineage: Eukaryota; Metazoa; Chordata; Mammalia; Rodentia; Muridae
Description: lncRNA (ENSMSIG00000016465.1)
Source: RNAcentral
AAGGCUUUGGCCUUGAGACUGGAGGGACUAGGGGAAUGGAGCUGAAGGACAUUUGGAUGCUGGCCUCAUUCUCUGGUCUGUGGUGAGAACAACCAACCAUGUUUCCCCUUGUGUGAACACCUUGCAUAGGAAGUGAGAGACUCCAUGUUGUCUACUCCGUUGGGAUCUGCUGUGCAUUCAUGUGAAUAUCAUUCCAUUCACAUGUGGUUGAUAUAUGGAAUGACAUAUAGAUACAUAUAUAUGUGUGUAUGUAGAUAUAUACCUCCACACAUAUAUAUCUGUGUGUGAGCACACACACACACACACACACACACACAGGAAACCUUGCUGAAGCUGGCAAGAUUUCCAGAAAGAGCAGACAGAGAGAGGGUCCUCGGGCUGCCUUCCUUGGAGUCCCUAAACCAUCUUCAGGCCGAUCCGUGUUGAUAUGAAUAGUUCUUACUUAUUUUUAUUUUAUGUGUCUGUGAACCUUUUGGAGCUGGAUUUACAGGCUGUUGUGAGUUGCACAAUGUGGGUGCUGAGACUCGAACUCAGGUCCUUGUGAAAAGCAGAAAGUGUUCUUAACCCCUGAGCAAGUUCUCUGUCCACUGGCUGAUUGUUUUUAUUUUUAUCUUUUUUUUUUUCAAAUUAGAAUGUAAAGGCAUAGCCUUCAUCAUGAUAUUUUGUAUAUAUGUGCCACUAGACUUUAUUCUUACCUGUCUUCCUCAUUCCUCUCUGCUCUAUUCAUCUCCCCUUCCCACAUCAAUUCCCUGACAUGAGUUUUAAUUCUGUAUGUCCCGUCAUGCACCAUGUCCCACAUUCUUCAUCAAGAUCCGGUCCAUCACCUUAUAUAGAACUUUCAGCGAAGUGGAAAGCCAUCGCGUGGCUACUAACACUUAAGCGAUGCUUCAGAGGAAGCUGCCUGAAUUCUUACUGCCUUCGAGUGUCUCAUGGAGAUCGCUUCCUCUUGCUGCCAGCCGGGACACAGUGGCAGACUUGCAUAGGAAAAUACCCAGCCUGGCUGCCUGCAGCUAACAAGCCAGCCGCCAUUUAAAUUUCAAUCAGCCCCUCUGUUUGUGUGUGAGUUUCUUG